Long non-coding RNA from Mauremys mutica (yellowpond turtle), 356 nucleotides. RefSeq lists it as uncharacterized. NCBI's taxonomy places the organism in Eukaryota, Metazoa, Chordata, Testudines, Geoemydidae. The transcript has 3 exons. The record is from RefSeq and is a predicted model, not a curated record.
ACUGUGCAUCUUCAUUUCAGAUGUGCUUGCUCUGGGUAACACCCGCAGCAGCCAACAAUAAAGAAGCUAGACAGUGCUAAUAACCCAUCAACAAAGACAGUGGCCAUGGAAAAGUCUGUGGCUUCUGAGAGAUUUCCUCCAUCCCUCCUCCAGGAAACAACAAGGAUGAGUCUGACUUGUGCACAGUAAAGUGUUUGUCAUUGAACCUACAGCAACAAAUUACACAACUGAAGAGACAGGAAAUGAUAUGGAGCAGGUAGUGAAGAAAGGGGCGCUGACUGCUGGAAAGAGGGUGUCACAAUCUGCCGACCCAGAAACAAGAUGCAGACGGCAGCACUGCAUGCAAAAAUCACGAG